UACGUAGGGGGCGAGCGUUGUCCGGAAUGAUUGGGCGUAAAGGGCGCGUAGGCCGCUUGGUAAGUCUGGAGUGAAAGUCCUGCUUUUAAGGUGGGAAUUGCUUUGGAUACUGCUAAGCUUGAGUGCAGGAGAGGUAAGUGGAAUUCCCAGUGUAGCGGUGAAAUGCGUAGAGAUUGGGAGGAACACCAGUGGCGAAGGCGACUUACUGGACUGUAACUGACGCUGAGGCGCGAAAGCGUGGGGAGCAAAC
RNAcentral lists this ribosomal RNA (250 nucleotides) under uncultured prokaryote. RNAcentral describes it as "partial 16S ribosomal RNA". It matches the Rfam family "Bacterial small subunit ribosomal RNA", at positions 524 to 773 of the family's 1533-position model. The record is from RNAcentral.